This 761-nucleotide ribosomal RNA is filed under the name uncultured Streptococcus sp. RNAcentral's name for it is "bacterial SSU rRNA". It matches the Rfam family "Bacterial small subunit ribosomal RNA", at positions 28 to 776 of the family's 1533-position model. The record is from RNAcentral. Lineage: Bacteria; Bacillati; Bacillota; Bacilli; Lactobacillales; Streptococcaceae.
GACGAACGCGGCGGCGUGCCCAAUACAUGCAAGUAGAACGCUGAGGAGGAGCUUGCUCUUCUGGAUGGGUUGCGAACGGGUGAGUAACGCGUAGGUAACCUGCCUGGUAGCGGGGGAUAACUAUUGGAAACGAUAGCUAAUACCGCAUAAGAGUAGAUGUUGCAUGACAUUUACUUAAAAGGUGCAAUUGCAUCACUACCAGAUGGACCUGCGUUGUAUUAGCUAGUUGGUGGGGUAACGGCUCACCAAGGCGACGAUACAUAGCCGACCUGAGAGGGUGAUCGGCCACACUGGGACUGAGACACGGCCCAGACUCCUACGGGAGGCAGCAGUAGGGAAUCUUCGGCAACGGACGGAAGUCUGACCGAGCAACGCCGCGUGAGUGAAGAAGGUUUUCGGAUCGUAAAGCUCUGUUGUAAGAGAAGAACGAGUGUGAGAGUGGAAAGUUCACACUGUGACGGUAUCUUACCAGAAAGGGACGGCUAACUACGUGCCAGCAGCCGCGGUAAUACGUAGGUCCCGAGCGUUGUCCGGAUUUAUUGGGCGUAAAGCGAGCGCAGGCGGUUAGAUAAGUCUGAAGUUAAAGGCUGUGGCUUAACCAUAGUACGCUUUGGAAACUGUUUAACUUGAGUGCAAGAGGGGAGAGUGGAAUUCCAUGUGUAGCGGUGAAAUGCGUAGAUAUAUGGAGGAACACCGGUGGCGAAAGCGGCUCUCUGGCUUGUAACUGACGCUGAGGCUCGAAAGCGUGGGGAGCAAACAGG